Molecule: ribosomal RNA, 384 nt
Filed under: Triticum aestivum (bread wheat)
Lineage: Eukaryota; Viridiplantae; Streptophyta; Magnoliopsida; Poales; Poaceae
Description: partial small subunit ribosomal RNA
Source: RNAcentral
AUGUGCUUGAUUGCGGACGGGCCGACUGGAAGGAGGAUUGGAACUGGAAUAAGGCAUAGGGGGCUGUGGUACAUGGACCAUGAGGGGCUUGGUCAGAUGGGUAGCCCACUGUUUGCAGCAAUUGUGGAAGAAAGAGAGUCUGUGGCGAUGAAACAUCACUGCAGAAUGGGGCAUGUAUCCUUUGAUAAAAUGUUCAAGUUGUUUCUAGAUGUAAUGCAUGGAGUCAAUAAGAACAAGCUGAACUGUGAUGCGUGUGAUUUUUCAAAACACACGAGGACAUCUUAUGUGAGUAAGAGACUUAGAAGUAUAUCCCAAUUCAUGCUUGUUCACUCGAAUGUUUGGCAAGUUCGGUGGUGUCGGUUGGUGGUGCGAAGUAUUUUGUGA